This is a non-coding RNA of Cyanistes caeruleus (blue tit), 550 nucleotides long. Lineage: Eukaryota; Metazoa; Chordata; Aves; Passeriformes; Paridae. The record is from RefSeq and is a predicted model, not a curated record.
CCGGCCCCACCAGGCGGCACAGGGCUGGCCGACCCCAGCAGGGAGCUCAUUUACCUUUCGAGGCCGGUAGCAAGAGAGAUCUUUUACCAGGCUUGACUGUUUUUAAAAUGCAGAAUUCACAGAGGGAGCAAUAGGAUAAACUCACAUAAUAGCCUGAUAACAACAAACAGAACCCUUGAAUAAAUGUAAUUUUGAAGCUCCCUACUAAUGAUUUCUCCUGUAAAUCUGUUGCUGUCCUUGGAUUAUAUCUGGGUAUCAGGAUAUGGACCACCUCUGAAGAAAGUAGCUGUCCUGCACCAAUUUCCCAGGGAACUACUGUGGAAACAUGAGAAAUGUCAUUCAAUAAAAGUGAAACUAUGGGUACCUAAGCUCUUUAAGUAUGUAGAUUUCUUUGUUAAUGAUUUUUAUAUCCCAUGGCAAAGACUUGCUCCACCCCAUCACAGCAACAUAAACAGAACAUGUAAUGCUGAAUAACCAUGUUAACAUCAUAAUAUUUUUUUUAAAAAAAAUGUUUUUGCUGUGUUUGCUGAUAUUUUAUAGCCAGACUAGA